CGCCGCUCUCCACCUACGAGCGGCGCGCGGGCCGAAGAAAGGAGUUUGUUUUCCCGCAGGAUCCGCGGUGCGGCAGUGUGGAGACCUGCCGUAUGUCCUCCGUACAUUCAUCGGCGGAGGUAAGGUCUGAGCAGCGGAGGCUCUCAGAUCAGGAUCGGUACGCAUGGCA
Molecule: non-coding RNA, 169 nt
Filed under: human gut metagenome
Description: malK-I RNA
Rfam family: malK-I RNA
Source: RNAcentral